CAUGACAGGGGCAGCUUUGGUUCCGGCGGCUUGCCGCUGGAUUAAAAGGGAACUGCGGUGCGCCUGAGGGCAAAGCCGCGGCUGCCCCCGCAACUGUAAGCGGCGAGCGACGGCCGACCAUGUCACUGGGACCCAAUGUCCCGGGAAGACCGGCCCGAGCCCUGACCCGCGAGCCAGGAGACCUGCCCAAGCGAUCACCCAUUU
This 204-nucleotide non-coding RNA is filed under the name Paracoccus solventivorans. Lineage: Bacteria; Pseudomonadati; Pseudomonadota; Alphaproteobacteria; Rhodobacterales; Paracoccaceae. The record is from RNAcentral.